GAAGCCUGCCAGACAAUCGCUGCUUGUUUAACAUUGUUAACCAAGGGGAGGAAAGUCCGGGCUCCAUAGGGCAGGGUGCCAGGUAACGCCUGGGCGGUGAAAACCGACGACCAGUGCAACAGAGAGUAAACCGCCGAUGGCCGCUUGCGGCACAGGUAAGGGUGAAAGGGUGCGGUAAGAGCGCACCGCGCGACUGGCAACAGUUCGUGGCAUGGUAAACUCCACCCGGAGCAAGGUCAAAUAGGGGUUCUAUGGCGCGGCCCGCGUUGAACCCGGGUAGACUGCAUGAAGGCUAGGGUGACCUAGUCGCUAGAUGAAUGAUUGUCCUCGACAGAACCCGGCUUAUCGGCGGGCUUCCCAU
RNAcentral lists this RNase P RNA (361 nucleotides) under Idiomarina seosinensis. RNAcentral's name for it is "Bacterial RNase P class A". It matches the Rfam family "Bacterial RNase P class A". Rfam says of the family: Ribonuclease P (RNase P) is a ubiquitous endoribonuclease, found in archaea, bacteria and eukarya as well as chloroplasts and mitochondria. Lineage: Bacteria; Pseudomonadati; Pseudomonadota; Gammaproteobacteria; Alteromonadales; Idiomarinaceae. The record is from Rfam by way of RNAcentral.